UACGUAGGGUGCGAGCGUUAAUCGGAUUUACUGGGCGUAAAGCGUGCGCAGGCGGUCAGUUAAGUCUGAUGUGAAAGCCCCGGGCUCAACCUGGGAAUGGCAUUGGAAACUGGCUUGCUGGAGUGUGGCAGAGGGGGGUGGAAUUCCGCGUGUAGCAGUGAAAUGCGUAGAGAUGCGGAGGAACACCGAUGGCGAAGGCAGCCCCCUGGGCCAACACUGACGCUCAGGCACGAAAGCGUGGGGAGCAAACAGG
Molecule: ribosomal RNA, 253 nt
Filed under: uncultured bacterium
Lineage: Bacteria
Description: partial 16S ribosomal RNA
Rfam family: Bacterial small subunit ribosomal RNA
Source: RNAcentral